UUCUCACCUGGUGCCUGGGAUAAGUUUAUGAGCUGCAGCUGGGGGCUGUGGGGAGCAGGUGGGCUUUAGGGAGCCAGGAAAUGGCUGUGGAGCAGCAUGAGACUCAUAAAGGAGCAGGCAGCGGUGCUCUAGUUAUCCAGCAGGGUUGGUUUAGGUUGCUGCUGCACUGGGAGCACUUAAGAAUGAAGUACAGAAGUGACCACGGCUGAAAGGCCAUUUAUUUGCAGCUGUUUCUUCUCAGUUGCAGGGGAAGGACUCCUCACACUGCACCCUGCUCCACCAUGGGCUCCCUCACACACAGACAGUCUCCGUGAACUUCUCCAGUGUGAGUCCUUCCCACGGGCUGCAGUUCUUCACAGCUGCUCCAGUGUGGGUCUGCUCUGUGGGGUGCAGUAUGGCUCCAGUGUGAGUCCUCCAUGGGGCCAUGAGUCCAGGCAGCAAACCUGCUCCAGCAUGGGCUCCUGUCCCCAUCAGUGCACUGGUCCUGCCAGGAGCCUGCUCCAGCAUGGCCUUCCCAGAGGAUAUUUUACAUCCUCCUUUGGCUAUUCCCCUGCUCCAGCGUGGAGUCAUCUACAGGCUGCAGGUUGUGGACGAAUCAAGGUCAAACACUUCUAACCAAAGUGGUACAUGAGACUAAUGUGUCUAAAGUGUGAUAGAGCGAUCGUUUCUUUCAUCAGCUGUGUCUGCAGAAAGUAUCACAUUCAGCUGUGUUAAACUUCCAGCAUGAAUGAGGAGUUACUUGGGCUGAUUGGGUCUUGCUCCAAGCAAUUACACAAGUAAUUGCCCUCAAGUCUACCUUGACUCACUGCAAGCCUCCACAACCACUCUUCUCUACCCUGAUAAAAGAGAGAAGAAAAUUACUGCAUCUGGAAAAAAAUAAUCUCAAACACUGAAAGUUUCUGUGAGGGAAAAAUAUAGGAAAAGGUUAUUAAGCAGUGUAAGAGCUAGCCAACAGAACACAAUACAUGAGUUUGCAAUGAGAUUCAGUGGAAAAAAACCAAGUGUGACUUUUGGACUAUGCCACGGAGAAGAAAGAAGAUCACAGGACUGUUCUGCAAGGGAUCCUGCAUACUGGGUCUCAAGCUGCCCAUAUGUAAAGCCUGCCCUUCUGGACAUAGCAGUAUACCAAGUAGGCCCCCUGAGAGAUCCCAUGGAGUAAUUCACUCUGCUGAGUUAGCACAUGAAGCCAUUGGAUAGAGUCAAAACAAGAUACUGCCAACUGUGAAGCAAAUGAAUCAAUACGAGUGCAAGGGGAUCGCUUUGUUUCUUUGAUACAAGAACAGUGGCAGCACAGGUUGUGUUCACAGUAAUGAGAUUUGAUCUGCCAGCUGAAGGCCAGGAGAUGAACCUACUGAACAGCCUGCCUGCCUAAAGAGCAAUUCUGUAGCAUCGGGUCAGAGGUACGCUUCUUCUAUCUGGAGUUAUUAACACCUAAAAGAGCUGUAUUAUACAGAAGACAAAGUUGACAUAACUGGAUGAAACUACAUCAUUUCUUCUUCUUCUUCUACAUACAAUUUGCCAAGCACCUGAGACACUAUUCCUCCAUUGUGAAACAAAGCUUCUAAAAAACCAACAGAAACCCCACCUGGUAUGAAUAAAUGUCCAUUUAUUACAUUAGGGCUGGAAAAAGACAAGGAAACCCCAACCUAUUAAAGUCUUCCAUCAUACUAAA
Molecule: long non-coding RNA, 1672 nt
Organism: Passer domesticus (house sparrow)
Lineage: Eukaryota; Metazoa; Chordata; Aves; Passeriformes; Passeridae
Exons: 6
Source: RefSeq, a predicted model, not a curated record